UUGUUUAUUUUAAGGCAGAUAUAUUUUUGGAAGCGAUUUUGUUUAACAAUCAAGAUUGCUUAAACAUGCUGCGUACACUUUCCUAAAAUUACUGGAAGUGUAAUAAACGUAAAUUAUUCAAAUAUCGUUCAAGAUAUAAACAGCCGUGAAAAUAAACAAAGGGUGUGGCAAAACAAACACGGAAACACAAUUCAUAAAAUGUAUAUUUACGAAAAGCUUAAGUCUAUGUAAUAAAAUAAAAAAGAAUGCCUGCCUUUUUAAAUAUCGUUAUAUUCUAACUGGCAUAAACCGAGGCCGUAUUAAGAGGCACUUUUAAUUACGAAAAAGUCCAAUUAGCAGGAAGGGCUCGGGUAUAAUCCUUGCGGUCACUGGGCAAGCUCAACUCGACGUAAAUAACUAAGGACUAUCGCACACUAAACUGGAAAUAAGACGAAGGAGCGAGGAAGAAUUUAGGGUAAAGUACCUUUAGUCGUACCAGCGCUUAAGUCGUACCACGUCGAUAUCUGCGCACCCGUCAUGAAAAGAUGGCAUCUAACAGUGCAAUAUGGUUCUACUAAGUACCACGGGUAAACAGCAACACGCGGCGGCUUGCCGGAAUUCGCGAUCAAAAAAAAAUGAAAAAGUGAUCAAUAUGGCAAAGAAAAUUUAUAACUCUUGGAAGCAAGAUGACAUAGAUGAACACAAAAAGGAACACAAUUCACAAAUAAAAAAAGAAAGAUAGACAGAAAAUCUAACAAAGAUAAGAAACUAGAUGCUAAAGAAAAUUGGUUGUGCAAACUAACAACACUAAACAAGAUCGCAAAGAAAAUAUGACCCUAUGUAUUAAAUGCAAAGGAUGGGUACAUGAUUUAUGUGCAGAUCUCGAAAUUAAAACUAAAAAUUACAUUUGUGAUAUAUGCAUUU
Long non-coding RNA from Trichoplusia ni (cabbage looper), 903 nucleotides. RefSeq lists it as uncharacterized. The record is from RefSeq and is a predicted model, not a curated record. Lineage: Eukaryota; Metazoa; Arthropoda; Insecta; Lepidoptera; Noctuidae. The transcript is spliced from 2 exons.